AACGAACGCUGGCGGCAUGCCUAACACAUGCAAGUCGAACGAGACCUUCGGGUCUAGUGGCACACGGGUGCGUAACGCGUGGGAACCUGCCCUUAGGUUCGGAAUAACUCCCCGAAAGGGGUGCUAAUACCGGAUAAUGUCUUCGGACCAAAGAUUUAUCGCCUUUGGAUGGGCCCGCGUUGGAUUAGCUAGUUGGUAGGGUAAAAGCCUACCAAGGCGACGAUCCAUAGCUGGUCUGAGAGGAUGAUCAGCCACACCGGGACUGAGACACGGCCCAGACUCCUACGGGAGGCAGCAGUGGGGAAUAUUGGACAAUGGGCGAAAGCCUGAUCCAGCAAUGCCGCGUGAGUGAUGAAGGCCUUAGGGUUGUAAAGCUCUUUUACCCGGGAUGAUAAUGACAGUACCGGGAGAAUAAGCUCCGGCUAACUCCGUG
This 433-nucleotide ribosomal RNA is filed under the name uncultured bacterium. RNAcentral describes it as "partial 16S ribosomal RNA". It matches the Rfam family "Bacterial small subunit ribosomal RNA", at positions 29 to 507 of the family's 1533-position model. The record is from RNAcentral.